CCCAAUCUCAGACUCACCCUGGGGAAGAAGGUCUGGAUGGAAGUUAAAGGGUCAUGUGUGCCUGCCUGCCCCCCUUCAGCUUUUCUUGGUCACAGGGCUAUUCUGUGUGUGGCUUCCCAGCAGCUACCAGCUGCCCCUGUGGCAGCUGGCUCACCUGCCCAGCUAUGAGAGUAUUCGAAAGAAGACCCAGCAGCAGCAGGUUCACCAGCUGAUUGCACGGCGCUUCGGGAUCUGGGCCUGCAGAGAGGCGAAUGUUCGGCAUUCCUAACCUUGGGCGCCUUGGACAACUGAGCUUUUGUUCAUAUUACUGAUACAUAAUGCCCAGUUAGAGCCCAGGAUGAGGAAGGGGUCACUGGUGGAGAGCCCCAGGCUUUGAGAGGAGGCCCCACUUCACCUCUUCGGGGGGAGGGAAGGAUGGGGUCUGCCCUGGGAUUCAGAACAGGCUCCUGCGGAAGGGAUUGUGUGCAGCCAACAGCUCCACGACUCAGCUUGUCUCCAGGAAGGAACAUCACUAGGGGAGAGGAGACACAGAAAGCUGAAGCCAAAAGAAAGGACAUGUGUACGGGCGGAUGGAGAGGCUGGUGUGUCAGGAAAUGGUUAAAGCCUUUACUCUCCUAUCCCUCAGCUGUCACCAAGCUAUGAGGAGGCGAGGCCCUCAGGUCACUGCCUGCACCACGACCGAACUGUGGCUCUGCUCAUCCACCCCAUGAAGCAACACUUGCUCUGCUCAGGGAAAUACCACUGUGUAGGAGGAACACCCUUUCCCAUCCUGCCCCUUUCUGCUUUUCCAGAGGACUGGCAAAGACGGUGCUGAGCCUACAGAGACAUCUCCAGCCAUCUCCCCCAGCUGGGCCUUGGCACGUGAGCCCCCACAAGAAGGAAGCCAAAGUGAACCUCAACAAACCCUGGGCCACCUCUGCCAAGGAUCUGCAGGAGGUGGAGAAUCUGGGGUCGUGUCCUGAGAAAAUAAGGCCGCUUCUCUGCUUUGAGGGUGCUCCGUGGUGCACACUACAGAACGUGGGUAAGGGCCAAAAAACCAGUAAGCAGCGCCAUCCAGGUUUAUCCCCACACAGCACAGACUCAUGACUCCAGCACACUUUAUUUCUGGCCCCAGGUCAGGUCUCCCAAGAGCCAGUCACUUCAGAGUCUUCUGCAAUCACCACCAAACAGACGUCCUCAGCAGACCUUGUCGUGCCAACCCUUGACUUUCGCUGCUGCCAUCCUCUCCUGUCACCUGGGCUCCAGUCUCUGUCCAGCGGCCUUGACCAGGAGUUCAAAGCAUAGCCACCAGUUUGAAGGUGCCCUCAGGCUUGGUAGGAACCACAUGGACAAAAGUCUUAUAGAGCACAGCACCCUUGGGCAGCCUGGUGACCAGGUCCACAGCCUCCGCGUUGCUGGGACUGGGCACAUAGAC
Long non-coding RNA from Lynx canadensis (Canada lynx), 1414 nucleotides. RefSeq lists it as uncharacterized. The transcript has 2 exons. The record is from RefSeq and is a predicted model, not a curated record. Lineage: Eukaryota; Metazoa; Chordata; Mammalia; Carnivora; Felidae.